This 30-nucleotide non-coding RNA is filed under the name Rattus norvegicus (Norway rat). Lineage: Eukaryota; Metazoa; Chordata; Mammalia; Rodentia; Muridae. The record is from RNAcentral.
UGCAGAUGGCAAGCUUCUCUAGCUGAUAUU